AGAACGAACGCUGGCGGCAUGCCUAACACAUGCAAGUCGAACGAAGGCUUCGGCCUUAGUGGCGCACGGGUGAGUAACGCGUGGGAAUCUGCCCAGCAGUGGGGAAUAACGACGGGAAACUGUCGCUAAUACCGCAUACGCCCUUCGGGGGAAAGAUUUAUUGCUGUUGGAUGAGCCCGCGUCCGAUUAGGUAGUUGGUGGGGUAAAGGCCUACCAAGCCAUCGAUCGGUAGCUGGUCUGAGAGGAUGAUCAGCCACACUGGGACUGAGACACGGCCCAGACUCCUACGGGAGGCAGCAGUGGGGAAUAUUGGACAAUGGGGGAAACCCUGAUCCAGCAAUGCCGCGUGAGUGAUGAAGGCCUUAGGGUUGUAAAGCUCUUUCGGGUGGGACGAUGAUGACGGUACCACCAGAAGAAGCCCCGGCUAACUUCGUGCCAGCAGCCGCGGUAAUACGAAGGGGGCUAGCGUUGUUCGGAAUUACUGGGCGUAAAGCGCACGCAGGCGGCUCGUUAAAUUAGAAGUGAAAGCCCCGGGCUCAACCCGGGAAUUGCUUUUAAGACUGGCGAGCUAGAAUUCGGAAGAGGGCAGUGGAAUUCCAAGUGUAGAGGUGAAAUUCGUAGAUAUUUGGAAGAACACCAGUGGCGAAGGCGACUGUCUGGUCCGAGAUUGACGCUCAUGUGCGAAAGCGUGGGGAGCAAACAGGAUUAGAUACCCUGGUAGUCCACGUUGUAAACGAUGAGUGCUAGUUGUUGGGGUACAUGUACCUCAGUGACGCAGCUAACGCAUUAAGCACUCCGCCUGGGGAGUACGGCCGCAAGGUUA
Molecule: ribosomal RNA, 823 nt
Filed under: uncultured bacterium
Lineage: Bacteria
Description: bacterial SSU rRNA
Rfam family: Bacterial small subunit ribosomal RNA
Source: RNAcentral